Molecule: ribosomal RNA, 446 nt
Filed under: uncultured bacterium
Lineage: Bacteria
Description: bacterial SSU rRNA
Rfam family: Bacterial small subunit ribosomal RNA
Source: RNAcentral
ACCAGACUCCUACGGGAGGCAGCAGUGGGGGAUAUUGCACAAUGGGGGGAACCCUGAUGCAGCGACGCCGCGUGGGUGAAGAAGCGCCUCGGCGCGUAAAGCCCUGUCAGCAGGGAAGAAAAUGACGGUACCUGAAGAAGAAGCCCCGGCUAACUACGUGCCAGCAGCCGCGGUAAUACGUAGGGGGCAAGCGUUAUCCGGAUUCACUGGGUGUAAAGGGAGCGUAGACGGCCAUGCAAGCCUGGAGUGAAAGCCCGGGGCCCAACCCCGGGACUGCUCUUGGAACUGCGUGGCUGGAGUGCAGGAGGGGCAGGCGGAAUUCCUGGUGUAGCGGUGAAAUGCGUAGAUAUCAGGAGGAACACCGGUGGCGAAGGCGGCCUGCUGGACUGCAACUGACGUUGAGGCCCGAAAGCGUGGGGAGCAAACAGGAUUAGAUACCCUGGUAA